AAACUCAUAUUCUUAUUUUUCUAUUAUUUUUAAUUAUCUACAAAUAUUAAUAAUUAUAAAUAAAACCAAUAAUUUAAAAAAUUCUAAUUAAAUUAAAUUAACCAUUCUAAAUUCAAUUAAAAAUAUUAAAUUAAUAAAAGUCAAAUUAAUUCUAAUAUGUCAUAACUCCUCACUUCUACACUAAGUUUUAAUAUUAUAAAAC
This 202-nucleotide long non-coding RNA is filed under the name Lathyrus oleraceus (garden pea). Its description in RNAcentral is "Pisum sativum (pea) long non-coding RNA (PSAT_LNC030447)". Lineage: Eukaryota; Viridiplantae; Streptophyta; Magnoliopsida; Fabales; Fabaceae. The record is from RNAcentral.